Molecule: long non-coding RNA, 607 nt
Filed under: Elaeis guineensis (African oil palm)
Lineage: Eukaryota; Viridiplantae; Streptophyta; Magnoliopsida; Arecales; Arecaceae
Description: long non-coding RNA (EGUI_LNC058703)
Source: RNAcentral
GAUUCUGGCAAGCAUUGGAAUUCUGGUUGUUGGCUAUCAAGAGGAAAGAGAAGAUAGUGAUGGUCAGGUUAUGAUUUGUUUGUGAGUUUCAAAUGGGGUGUGGAAGCUAUUAAAUAAAGGUAGAGGCUUAGAUUUUCUAGCCUCGAUUGCUCGAGAUUUUCAAUUUCAUGAAUUGAGAGUCAUCACAAGAAAGAAGGAGCAGACUCCCUUUGGAAGUUUGCUAUAGCAUCCUAAGCAUGUGCAAAGCUCGUAAUUUGUUGACAAUUGACAAAUUUAGACCAUACUAUGGCUUUUCUAUAGUAUUUCCUAAAUUUUUUGCCAAAAAAUUUCCUUACCAUUCAUCAUAAAAUAAGCAAUUUGGAUUUCUCUUCUAGCAAUUGAUUUUAGCCAAUGGAAAACCAUCGUAUGAGUCACAAGUACCAUAAUUUAGAUAACUUUUGAGUUCAUAAUAGAGCACAAGAUGGCAAGUGAUGUAAUUUUGAAACUUUCAAGGGUCAUAAUUGAACAUUAAAUAAUUUAAUUUUUCUAAACAAACUGGUCUCCAUUGCCACAUUCACCCUGCUCUCCUUGAAGCCUUGUCAUGGCCUCACCAUGUGCACCCUUGUCC